CCCUUAGAUGUUCUGGGCCGCACGCGCGCUACACUGACGAUGGCAACGAGUUUUUCCUUCGCCGAAAGGUGUGGGUAAUCUUUUGAAACAUCGUCGUGCUGGGGAUAGAUCAUUGCAAUUUUUGAUCUUGAACGAGGAAUUCCUAGUAAGCGCGAGUCAUCAGCUCGCGUUGAUUACGUCCCUGCCCUUUGUACACACCGCCCGUCGCUACUACCGAUUGAAUGGUUUAGUGAGGACUCCUGAUUGGCGCCGCCGCCCCGGCAACGGAGCAGCGGACUGCCGAAAAGUUGUUCAAACUUGAUCAUUUAGAGGAAGUAAAAGUCGUGACA
Molecule: ribosomal RNA, 329 nt
Filed under: uncultured eukaryote
Lineage: Eukaryota
Description: partial 18S ribosomal RNA
Rfam family: Eukaryotic small subunit ribosomal RNA
Source: RNAcentral